CAAGAUACAAGAUAUUUCCAGCACCACAGGAGACUCCUUCACACCCCAUGCUGGCAUACAAAGGUCCAGCCAUUGGCCCACAUCAUCAUCUUUAACAAGGGAAUACUCCACAAUUCACCUCCUCCUGACCCUUUGUCAUCUAAAUCAUCUAUGUCAUCUAUAUCAUCUGUUUGUCUGCUAUAUCCUUUGUCAUCAUGA
This is a long non-coding RNA of Hippopotamus amphibius kiboko, 198 nucleotides long. RefSeq lists it as uncharacterized. NCBI's taxonomy places the organism in Eukaryota, Metazoa, Chordata, Mammalia, Artiodactyla, Hippopotamidae. The transcript is spliced from 3 exons. The record is from RefSeq and is a predicted model, not a curated record.